AGUCGAGCGGUAGAGAGAAGCUUGCUUCUCUUGAGAGCGGCGGACGGGUGAGUAAUGCCUAGGAAUCUGCCUGGUAGUGGGGGUAACGCUCGGAAACGGACGCUAAUACCGCAUACGUCCUACGGGAGAAAGCAGGGGACCUUCGGGCCUUGCGCUAUCAGAUGAGCCUAGGUCGGAUUAGCUAGUUGGUGAGGUAAUGGCUCACCAAGGCGACGAUCCGUAACUGGUCUGAGAGGAUGAUCAGUCACACUGGAACUGAGACACGGUCCAGACUCCUACGGGAGGCAGCAGUGGGGAAUAUUGGACAAUGGGCGAAAGCCUGAUCCAGCCAUGCCGCGUGUGUGAAGAAGGUCUUCGGAUUGUAAAGCACUUUAAGUUGGGAGGAAGGGCAGUAACCUAAUACGUUAUUGUUUUGACGUUACCGACAGAAUAAGCACCGGCUAACUCUGUGCCAGCAGCCGCGGUAAUACAGAGGGUGCAAGCGUUAAUCGGAAUUACUGGGCGUAAAGCGCGCGUAGGUGGUUUGUUAAGUUGAAUGUGAAAUCCCCGGGCUCAACCUGGGAACUGCAUCCAAAACUGGCAAGCUAGAGUAGGGCAGAGGGUGGUGGAAUUUCCUGUGUAGCGGUGAAAUGCGUAGAUAUAGGAAGGAACACCAGUGGCGAAGGCGACCACCUGGGCUCAUA
This 683-nucleotide ribosomal RNA is filed under the name Pseudomonas viridiflava. RNAcentral describes it as "bacterial SSU rRNA". It matches the Rfam family "Bacterial small subunit ribosomal RNA", at positions 60 to 739 of the family's 1533-position model. The record is from RNAcentral. Lineage: Bacteria; Pseudomonadati; Pseudomonadota; Gammaproteobacteria; Pseudomonadales; Pseudomonadaceae.